AUGAAGCCUGGCUUGCUGGGUGGAUUAGUGGCGAACGGGUGAGUAACACGUGAGUAACCUGCCCUUGACUCUGGGAUAAGCGCUGGAAACGGCGUCUAAUACCGGAUACGACCUGCCCCGGCAUCGGGUGUGGGUGGAAAGUUUUUCGGUCAAGGAUGGACUCGCGGCCUAUCAGCUUGUUGGUGAGGUAAUGGCUUACCAAGGCGACGACGGGUAGCCGGCCUGAGAGGGUGACCGGCCACACUGGGACUGAGACACGGCCCAGACUCCUACGGGAGGCAGCAGUGGGGAAUAUUGCACAAUGGGCGAAAGCCUGAUGCAGCAACGCCGCGUGGGGGAUGACGGCCUUCGGGUUGUAAACCUCUUUUAGUAGGGAAGAAGGGCUUCGGCUUGACGGUACCUGCAGAAAAAGCACCGGCUAACUACGUGCCAGCAGCCGCGGUAAUACGUAGGGUGCAAGCGUUGUCCGGAAUUAUUGGGCGUAAAGAGCUCGUAGGCGGUUUGUCGCGUCUGCUGUGAAAACCCGAGGCUCAACCUCGGGCCUGCAGUGGGUACGGGCAGACUAGAGUGCGGUAGGGGAGAAUGGAAUUCCUGGUGUAGCGGUGGAAUGCGCAGAUAUCAGGAGGAACACCGAUGGCGAAGGCAGUUCUCUGGGCCGUUACUGACGCUGAGGAGCGAAAGCGUGGGGAGCGAACAGGAUUAGAUACCCUGGUAGUCCACGCCGUAAACGUUGGGAACUAGAUGUGGGGGCCUUUCCACGGUCUCCGUGUCGCAGCUAACGCAUUAAGUUCCCCGCCUGGGGAGUACGGCCGCAAGGCUAAAACUCAAAGGAAUUGACGGGGGCCCGCACAAGCGGCGGAGCAUGCGGAUUAAUUCGAUGCAACGCGAAGAACCUUACCAAGGCUUGACAUAUACCGGAAACUUCCAGAGAUGGUUGCCCCGCAAGGUCGGUAUACAGGUGGUGCAUGGUUGUCGUCAGCUCGUGUCGUGAGAUGUUGGGUUAAGUCCCGCAACGAGCGCAACCCUCGUUCUAUGUUGCCAGCACGUGAUGGUGGGAACUCAUAGGAGACUGCCGGGGUCAACUCGGAGGAAGGUGGGGAUGACGUCAAAUCAUCAUGCCCCUUAUGUCUUGGGCUUCACGCAUGCUACAAUGGCCGGUACAAAGGGCUGCGAUACCGUAAGGUGGAGCGAAUCCCAAAAAGCCGGUCUCAGUUCGGAUUGAGGUCUGCAACUCGACCUCAUGAAGUCGGAGUCGCUAGUAAUCGCAGAUCAGCAACGCUGCGGUGAAUACGUUCCCGGGCCUUGUACACACCGCCCGUCAAGUCAUGAAAGUCGGUAACACCCGAAGCCAGUGGCCUAACCGUAAGGAGGG
RNAcentral lists this ribosomal RNA (1372 nucleotides) under Rathayibacter iranicus. RNAcentral's name for it is "bacterial SSU rRNA". It matches the Rfam family "Bacterial small subunit ribosomal RNA". Lineage: Bacteria; Bacillati; Actinomycetota; Actinomycetes; Micrococcales; Microbacteriaceae. The record is from RNAcentral.